UGCUUUUAUUGACAAAAGAGUCACUUGCAACAUUAGACAAUGAUAUGUGGCUGAAUUACAUUGUCAUGGACAUUGUAUUGAGGUAAUUCUUUUGAAGAAUCAUAAAACUGCAAAUCAUAAUAUUCUUAGCAAUAAUUUUCUACUAAUUCUUUCUAGGUCUGGUCAAUUUUGAACUAGGACGUCAUAAAGGCGGAAAUCUUUGAUCUACCCAGUGCAUUUUUACACUAAAUUGAAAAACAGCACAGGGAAGUGUAGCAGAGGAAAACAAAGCAGAAGAAAGAGAAAGUGAAGAAGAACAAAUGGUUGACGAGAGAGGGCAAAAGGAAAACAUAGCCAAAUAGAAAGUAGAGAGGAAGAAGAAAUACCUAAGAAAAGAGAAAAGGACAAAACAGCUCAGGGAAGAAACUAUACAGUUCUGGGAAGGCUGUAAGUGUCAGGCACCAAAAGAAAGUACACAGUCACUCAAGAUGAACUGAAGAGAAGAAUCAUGGCAGAAAACAUGUCAAACAACAUGUUAAGUAGCCUGAUUAGGGUUCGUAAAGAGGAUCUCCCUCAGGAGCUCAGAGAACAACCGCCAAUAAAAGCCAAGACAAAAAUAAGCAUCUUCUCUGCUCUCAGUGAAGGAGAGGCCACAGAUUAGCCCAGGAGCUGGGAGCCAUGCUAGGGAGACAUGUAAACGUAGGCAUGAUUGCAAGUGUUCCCAGUGCUGAGGCAGACAUUGCAAAGAAUAGACUCUGCACUCUCCAGAGCUUGCUGAGGGGAAAACUGGGAGAGGAAACACCUUUUAGUCUGCUGACCCAUACAUUUGGACCACAAGUUGUAGAUUUGAUCUACUGAUCUCAUUUUUAAUCAGUCAGUUUAAGUAGAGGUACACUGAGCCAGUGAACACAAUAACAAAUGAAUUUAAAUUGUUACAAACAUUGUCAUCUCAGUUAAUUAAGUAAUGUUACAGUUAAUUGAUUUAAAUAUACAACAUAUCACUGUUAGAGAACACAUUCAGAAAGCA
Molecule: long non-coding RNA, 1006 nt
Organism: Cyprinus carpio carpio
Lineage: Eukaryota; Metazoa; Chordata; Actinopteri; Cypriniformes; Cyprinidae
Source: Ensembl